Molecule: long non-coding RNA, 402 nt
Filed under: Macaca mulatta (Rhesus monkey)
Lineage: Eukaryota; Metazoa; Chordata; Mammalia; Primates; Cercopithecidae
Description: lncRNA (ENSMMUG00000056901.1)
Source: RNAcentral
CACACAUGCUAACACACACAUUUUCUCUUUGAGGGGUUGCUCCCUCAGCAACACACAGGCUUCUGUGGACCCAGCAUUGUCUUGGUGGGAGCCAGGCCAGGGCCCCUGGGAGUCCUGGAGGAUGGUAACUGCUGGAGACACAGGGAGACUGGAGGCCAGGACUGGAGCAUGCAUAGGCAGAACAAAUGCUCCAAAAGGAGGCAGUAACCCUCAGGCCAGCUGGGAGACCAGAGGAGACCAAGCAGGUGCACUGCACAUUUGUCAUGGAUGCCUGACCUUGGUUUUCCCAGUUCAACCUCCUAAACAUCACCUGUAAUGUGGAAACAGGUAGUGGCAGAGCCCCUGAUUUUUCGCAGCAGAAGUCAUCUCUUCCUCUACAGUAUGAAAGUUUGUAGUUCUAAG